RNAcentral lists this ribosomal RNA (484 nucleotides) under uncultured bacterium. RNAcentral describes it as "partial 16S ribosomal RNA". It matches the Rfam family "Bacterial small subunit ribosomal RNA", at positions 28 to 507 of the family's 1533-position model. The record is from RNAcentral.
AUUGAACGCUGGCGGCAUGCUUUACACAUGCAAGUCGAACGGCAGCGCGGGCUUCGGCCUGGCGGCGAGUGGCGAACGGGUGAGUAAUGCAUCGGAACGUGCCCAGUAGUGGGGGAUAGCCCGGCGAAAGCCGGAUUAAUACCGCAUACGACCUGAGGGUGAAAGCGGGGGACCGACAGGCCUCGCGCUAUUGGAGCGGCCGAUGUCGGGUUAGCUAGUUGGUGGGGUAAAGGCUUACCAAGGCGACGAUCCGUAGCUGGUCUGAGAGGACGACCAGCCACACUGGGACUGGGACACGGCCCAGACUCCUACGGGAGGCAGCAGUGGGGAAUUUUGGACAAGGGGGGCAACCCUGAUCCAGCCAUGCCGCGUGCGGGAAGAAGGCCUUCGGGUUGUAAACCGCUUUUGUUCGGGAAGAAAUCCUCUGGGCUAAUACCCCGGGGGGAUGACGGUACCGGAAGAAUAAGCACCGGCUAACUACGUG